GGGUGAGUAACACGUAUCCAACCUGCCGUCUACUCUUGGACAGCCUUCUGAAAGGAAGAUUAAUACAAGAUGGCAUCAUGAGUCCGCAUGUUCACAUGAUUAAAGGUAUUCCGGUAGACGAUGGGGAUGCGUUCCAUUAGAUAGUAGGCGGGGUAACGGCCCACCUAGUCUUCGAUGGAUAGGGGUUCUGAGAGGAAGGUCCCCCACAUUGGAGCUGAGACACGGUCCAAACUCCUACGGGAGGCAGCAGUGAGGAAUAUUGGUCAAUGGGCGAGAGCCUGAACCAGCCAAGUAGCGUGAAGGAUGACUGCCCUAUGGGUUGUAAACUUCUUUUAUAAAGGAAUAAAGUCGGGUAUGCAUACCCGUUUGCAUGUACUUUAUGAGUAAGGAUCGGCUAACUCCGUGCCAGCAGCCGCGGUAAUACGGAGGAUCCGAGCGUUAUCCGGAUUUAUUGGGUUUAAAGGGAGCGUAGAUGGAUGUUUAAGUCAGUUGUGAAAGUUUGCGGCUCAACCGUAAAAUUGCAGUUGAUACUGGAUAUCUUGAGUGCAGUUGAGGCAGGCGGAGUUCGUGGUGUAGCGGUGAAAUGCUUAGAUAUCACGAAGAACUCCGAU
Molecule: ribosomal RNA, 611 nt
Filed under: uncultured Bacteroidales bacterium
Lineage: Bacteria; Pseudomonadati; Bacteroidota; Bacteroidia; Bacteroidales
Description: bacterial SSU rRNA
Rfam family: Bacterial small subunit ribosomal RNA
Source: RNAcentral